Molecule: ribosomal RNA, 485 nt
Filed under: uncultured bacterium
Lineage: Bacteria
Description: bacterial SSU rRNA
Rfam family: Bacterial small subunit ribosomal RNA
Source: RNAcentral
UCCACGCCCUAAACGAUGAACACUAGUCGUCGCCCUGCUUGUCAGGGCGGUGAUGCACUUAACAGAUUAAGUGUUCCGCCUGGGGAGUACGGUCGCAAGAUUAAAACUCAAAGGAAUAGACGGGGACCCGCACAAGUGGUGGAGCAUGUGGUUUAAUUCGAAGAUACGCGAAGAACCUUACCUGGCCUUGACAUUGAUAGAAUCUGCUAGAGAUAGCGGAGUGCCCUUCGGGGAGCUUGAAAACAGGUGCUGCACGGCUGUCGUCAGCUCGUGUCGUGAGAUGUUGGGUUAAGUCCCGCAACGAGCGCAACCCUCGUCCUUAGUUGCCAGCAGGUUAAGCUGGGCACUCUAGGGAGACUGCCUUCGCAAGGAGGAGGAAGGUGAGGACGACGUCAAGUCAUCAUGGCCCUUACGGCCAGGGCUACACACGUGCUACAAUGGGGCGUACAGAGAGUUGCAAUACCGCGAGGUGGAGCCAAUCUCAU